Molecule: non-coding RNA, 80 nt
Filed under: uncultured Bacteroides sp.
Lineage: Bacteria; Pseudomonadati; Bacteroidota; Bacteroidia; Bacteroidales; Bacteroidaceae
Source: RNAcentral
GAAAUGUAUGGAGUAACGCUUGCCGUGAGAAGUCAGCAGAUGUCAUAGUACCUAAAGUACAUGUACUUAUGGGGAAGGAC